CAAAAGAGUGGGAAGAGCUUUGAGUAGAGGUGACAAACCUACCGAGCCCAGUUAUAGCUGGUUGCCUGUGAAAUGAAUAGGAGUUCAGCCCUUUAAGUCUUUCCCCCCUCACCCAUGCUUACGCUAAAAUUGAUUAAGGAAACUAAAGGCGUUAAUCAAAAGGGGUACAGCCCUUUUGAUAGAAGAAACAACUUUAACAGGUGACCCAAGAUCAUAUUACUCAAGGAUUUCAAAUUAAGUGGGCCUAAAAGCAGCCAUCUUAUCAGAAAGCGUUAAAGCUCAAAUUAGCCUAUAUCCUCAUAUACUGAUAUUACAUCUCCCUCCCUGCCCCUUACCAGGCUGUCUUAUGCCCCCAUAAGAACAAUUAUGCUAAAAUGAGUAAUAAGAAGGAUUUAAUUCUUCUCCUAGCACAUGUGUAAGUCGGAACGGACCUCCCACCGACUAUUAAUCGACCCCAAACCCAGAGGGUAAUAGGUCGUAUAAACAAGAAAAACACCUAUUUUGUAUCGUUAACCCCACACAGGUGUGCCUAAAGGAAAGACUAAAAGAGAAGGAAGGAACUCGGCAAACACAAGCCUCGCCUGUUUACCAAAAACAUCGCCUCUUGCUCCAAAAAUAUAAGAGGUCCCGCCUGCCCUGUGACUAUAAGUUUAACGGCCGCGGUAUUUUAACCGUGCGAAGGUAGCGUAAUCACUUGUCUUUUAAAUGAAGACCUGUAUGAAUGGCAUCACGAGGGCUUAGCUGUCUCCCAUCUCCAGUCAAUGAAAUUGACCUCCCCGUGCAGAGGCGGGGAUGAUUACAUAAGACGAGAAGACCCUAUGGAGCUUUAGACCUAAAGUAAGUCACGUUUAACAUGCUGUGAUAACAGUAAAAACUUAGUGAUAUUUACUGAAGUGUCUUUGGUUGGGGCGACCGCGGGGUAAAACACAACCCCCAUGUGGACCGGGGAUAUUAUCCCUAAUACUCAGAGCCUCUACUCCAAGUAACAGAAAUUCUGACUUUUCUGAUCCGGUAUAACCGAUCAACGAACCGAGUUACCCUAGGGAUAACAGCGCAAUCCCCUCUCAGAGCCCAUAUCGACGAGGGGGUUU
RNAcentral lists this ribosomal RNA (1091 nucleotides) under Gadus macrocephalus (Pacific cod). RNAcentral describes it as "partial 16S ribosomal RNA". It matches the Rfam family "Bacterial large subunit ribosomal RNA", at positions 792 to 2519 of the family's 2925-position model. Lineage: Eukaryota; Metazoa; Chordata; Actinopteri; Gadiformes; Gadidae. The record is from RNAcentral.